RNAcentral lists this ribosomal RNA (468 nucleotides) under uncultured bacterium. RNAcentral's name for it is "partial 16S ribosomal RNA". It matches the Rfam family "Bacterial small subunit ribosomal RNA", at positions 28 to 507 of the family's 1533-position model. The record is from RNAcentral.
GACGAACGCUGGCGGCGUGCUUAACACAUGCAAGUCGAACGGAAAGGCCCUGCUUUUGUGGGGUGCUCGAGUGGCGAACGGGUGAGUAACACGUGAGUAACCUGCCCUUGACUUUGGGAUAACUUCAGGAAACUGGGGCUACUACCGGAUAGGAGCUCCUGCUGCAUGGUGGGGGUUGGAAAGUUUCGGCGGUUGGGGAUGGACUCGCGGCUUAUCGGCUUGUUGGUGGGGGAGUGGCUUACCAAGGCUUUGACGGGUAGCCGGCCUGGGAGGGUGACCGGCCACAUUGGGACUGAGAUACGGCCCAGAGUCCUACGGGAGGCAGCAGUGGGGAAUAUGGUACAAUGGGCGGAAGCCGGAUGCAGCAACGCCGCGUGCGGGAUGACGGCCUGCGGGUUGUAAACCGCUUUCGCCUGUGACGAAGCGUGAGUGACGGUAAUGGGUAAAGAAGCACCGGCUAACUACGUG